Molecule: ribosomal RNA, 432 nt
Filed under: uncultured Bacteroidota bacterium
Lineage: Bacteria; Pseudomonadati; Bacteroidota
Description: bacterial SSU rRNA
Rfam family: Bacterial small subunit ribosomal RNA
Source: RNAcentral
AACAUGAGAGCUUGCUCUUGAUGACGAGUGGCGCACGGGUGCGUAACGCGUAUGCAAUCUACCUAUAACNGAGGGAUAGCCCAGAGAAAUUUGGAUUAAUACCUCAUAAUAAUAUUUUUUGGCAUCAUUAAAUAUUUAAAACUCCGGUGGUUAUAGAUGAGCAUGCGUUCUAUUAGUUUGUUGGUGAGGUAAGAGCUCACCAAGACUACGAUAGAUAGGGGGCCUGAAAGGGUGAUCCCCCACACUGGUACUGAGACACGGACCAGACUCCUACGGGAGGCAGCAGUGAGGAAUAUUGCACAAUGGAGGAAACUCUGAUGCAGCCAUGCCGCGUGCAGGAUGACGGCCCUAUGGGUUGUAAACUGCUUUUUUACAAGAAGAAACAUUGGUACGUGUACCAAUUUGACGGUAUUGUAAGAAUAAGCACCGGCU